RNAcentral lists this long non-coding RNA (868 nucleotides) under Sus scrofa (pig). RNAcentral describes it as "lncRNA (ENSSSCG00045013677.1)". Lineage: Eukaryota; Metazoa; Chordata; Mammalia; Artiodactyla; Suidae. The record is from RNAcentral.
AGCUUCGUUCAGGCCCGGCCGGGACUUGAUCAUCCUGGAAAUUAUAUCGCUGGCUCGUCCCACUUGGGGGAAAGCCAAUUACCUGGACUGGGAGCCAUUGGCAUCUCGUCCGGCCUCCCGCAGCCAGACAGGAACCCUGAGCUUCUGCUUCCAGCCUGGCCUGGCCUGUCCUAGAGAGUCCGCCUGGGUGAGGGGAGAGCCAGCCUGCGAGGGGCCCCUCCCACCUGGCCUUUCCUGUGGGGCUGCAGUGGAACCUUCUCAUUUGCCUGAAAUGGAAAAAAGUCAAGCCCCGCAGCAGAAAAUGUCCGGGAUCCUCCGCAAAGCGACCCAGAAGUUGAGUCCCAGACCCCUUGGAGCGGGAACCGUUGGCCUGAGAAGCUUGAGGAUCACGUUCAAUUCAUCAUUAUUUGGCGCCCUGAUUGACUUGCCCGCGUGGAGACUUCUCGCGGCUGUGCCUGGUCCUCCCGGCCCAGUUCUGGCCGCGCGCGCGCGCGCCCCUCGCCCAGCUUAAUUGACUGUGUCUCUAACCCGCCACGAGGUGCAGCUUCUAAUGAUGAAUAAACAACGGUGCGCGAUUACCGGCGAAAUUACCCAUCUGCGGGUCAUGCUGGGCAAGCACUUCUCAAGCAAAAACGCCUCCCGACCUCCAGCUUGAGGCGGCUGCGUCAGGACACAUUCCCAAGGCGGGCUCUGGGGCGAGCCAGGGGACGCCUGGUCUGGGUGGCCUGUGGCUGCUCUAACAAGCACACGACCUGCUCACGUCCCCGUGUCCCCCCAGUACUGGCCGUCGGGGCCAUCAUCAGCUGAUGCCACGCCCCACGGCCUCCCCCGUUCAGCAGAGCUCUCCUUCUGAGAAUCCAAAUUCCAC